CAUUUAAUUUAUAACAAACUCUUUGUGUUCAGUUAAACCAACUGCCCCAACUGAUCUCAAAGUCCAGAGCACAUCUGAUAGCUACAACAUUUCCUGGAAAAGUGGCUAUGAAAACCACAUAAUAAAAUUUACGUACCAGCUAUCCAUACAAAAAUAUCUUGACAAUGAGAUAUAUAAGGAAUUUCGUGUGUACAACACAUUUUUCUUAAUGAACGCAUCCAAACUUGAUCCAGACCAAGAAUACCUUGUUAAAGUGAGAUCUAAAGCAGAAUGGUAUAACGAAGAGAAGAGUGAGUGGAGUAUGAUACGGCUAAAGACCAAUGCAAAACAGGCAUCGAGGGGGUUCCUCAAGUUAGCAUUGCCAGUGUGUUUGGUCGUUGCAGGUCUGAUCUUAUACAGCUUAUACAUUCCCAUCAAAAGAAUGAAGAUUGAAGCUUGCUUACAUGUGCCAUCCCCAGCCCCCUUCUUCCAGCCUCUCUUCAAAGAUUAUAAUGGAAAUCUUAAUGACUGGCUUGCAUCACAAGGGAAUCUGAAGUGGAUUCACGAAAUAGAAGAUCUCCAGACAACAAAUACUUUGAUUAUUGAGAGUAAACCUAUUAAGGAAGACCACUGCAUUUUGGCAACAGCAAAUACACCAUUGCAAGAUCAGAGUCCUUAUGUUGAUGCUUCUUUGAUGAACUGGGUCUCUUCUAAUACAAAUGGUCCUUGGGACAUCUCCCACACACAGCACCCAUGUUCAACCCUAGAGUUACGUUAUGGAGAUCAUCCCCUCGCCUCCGGAGUUUGAAGCAACUAGUAAAGUUGACUCUUGAUGGGAAGAAUUGAUGCCCAUGGCCAGAGACUCCCCGAUCACUCUAAAUGCCACUGUGAGGGUUACAAAAUCCUUCACAUUAUCCCAGAGAGUGUCAUUCCAGCGGUAUGUUUAUGUGCAAAUCGUGGUAAGCUGCAGAGUCUCUCAUUUCAUAACUAAGAAUGUGGUCUGUCAGGUUGAUGGCAUGAAGAUGUGUUUGCAAAGGAUGUGUAAACACAUGAAAUAAACU
Molecule: long non-coding RNA, 1040 nt
Organism: Osmerus eperlanus (European smelt)
Lineage: Eukaryota; Metazoa; Chordata; Actinopteri; Osmeriformes; Osmeridae
Exons: 5
Source: RefSeq, a predicted model, not a curated record